UCUUUGAACGCAAAUGGCGUUCUCGGGGUCUUCUCGAGAGCACGUCUGCCUGAGUGCCCGUUUCCUGUGGCUGCUGCAGUUGCGUGCAGUGGCGAGUUGAAGUGUCGCCCUGCCCACAGUUGAGUGGGGCGUCCUUUGAAGGGAGGCAACUGCUGCAAGGUCCACCUGGUGGGCUUGCGCACGCGACUGAGCCACUGUCGUCGUGCCCUGCCCCCGGUCGGUGUGUGUCCUUGCGGAUUGAAGGUAUGGAUGACGUAGCACCAAUGUGGGCCUCAGGUCAGAUGAGGCGACCCGCUGAAUUUAAGCAUAUUAAUAAGCGGAGGAAAAGAAACUAACCAGGAUUCCCCCAGUAGCGGCGAGUGAAGCGGGAACAGCCCAAGCCUGUAAUCUCCGAUGCGUUGCAUCGGCGAAUUGUAGUCUGGAGAAGGGCCAUCCUCGCAUCGGUCCUCCCGAAGUCGCCGAGGAAAGGCGCGCCAGAGAGGGUGAUAGCCCCGUGCGUGGGAGCGACCGACUGUGGGACUCGAGGCCUCUUCGGAGAGUCGGGUUGUUUGGGAUUGCAGCCCAAAGUGGGUGGUAAACUCCAUCUAAGGCUAAAUACUGGCACAAGACCGAUAGUGAACMAGUACCGUGAGGGAAAGGUGAAAAG
RNAcentral lists this ribosomal RNA (646 nucleotides) under Suberea ianthelliformis. RNAcentral describes it as "eukaryotic LSU rRNA". The stretch from base 268 to 646 matches the Rfam family "Eukaryotic large subunit ribosomal RNA", at positions 1 to 371 of the family's 3401-position model. Lineage: Eukaryota; Metazoa; Porifera; Demospongiae; Verongiida; Aplysinellidae. The record is from RNAcentral.